This 253-nucleotide ribosomal RNA is filed under the name uncultured bacterium. RNAcentral describes it as "partial 16S ribosomal RNA". It matches the Rfam family "Bacterial small subunit ribosomal RNA", at positions 524 to 776 of the family's 1533-position model. The record is from RNAcentral.
UACGUAGGGUGCGAGCGUUGUCCGGAUUUAUUGGGCGUAAAGAGCUCGUAGGCGGUUUGUCGCGUCGGCCGUGAAAUCUCCACGCUUAACGUGGAGCGUGCGGUCGAUACGGGCAGACUUGAGUUCGGUAGGGGAGACUGGAAUUCCUGGUGUAGCGGUGAAAUGCGCAGAUAUCAGGAGGAACACCGGUGGCGAAGGCGGGUCUCUGGGCAGUAACUGACGCUGAGGAGCGAAAGCGUGGGGAGCGAACAGG